CGCCACUUCCGCUACUUCCGGCCCGGGGAGCUUCGGUGGUGCUGACUGGGGAGGGAAAGCUAAGGCCGUCUUGGAUGGUGACUGGCGUUGUCUUAAAGGCUUCCUCCCUCAGCAUCUUUGGUGGUUGGUGCUGACUCUUGGCCAGGACCACAUUUGGGGCUGUGACAGCACACCUGCAAGUGACCUCUCUACCCAGCCGGGCUUCCUUGAAGCAUGGCACCAAGGUGACCUCCCAAGAUAAGGUGGAAGCAGAGGGAUGCUUGGUUACAAAAGAAGGGAAGGAGAGGUGACCUUGGAGGCAUACAGCCUCAAGCCAAGGAAUGCUGGACGCUGGACGCGGCAAGGAACGAAUUCUCCCCUGGAACCUCCAGAAGGAACUAUUCUGGCUAACACCUUAGUUUUAGCCCAUGAGACUCUGUGGAUUUCUGGCCUUUGGAACUGGAAGAGAAUAAAUGUCUGCUGUUUUAAGCCUUCA
This is a long non-coding RNA of Camelus dromedarius (Arabian camel), 475 nucleotides long. RefSeq lists it as uncharacterized. NCBI's taxonomy places the organism in Eukaryota, Metazoa, Chordata, Mammalia, Artiodactyla, Camelidae. The record is from RefSeq and is a predicted model, not a curated record. The transcript is spliced from 3 exons.